RNAcentral lists this long non-coding RNA (1329 nucleotides) under Mustela putorius furo (domestic ferret). Its description in RNAcentral is "lncRNA (ENSMPUG00000030022.1)". The record is from RNAcentral. Lineage: Eukaryota; Metazoa; Chordata; Mammalia; Carnivora; Mustelidae.
AUGAAUGAUCUCCAGGGCCACUUGUCAUUGCUGGAGUGUGCUGAUUUCUGUUUCCUGCUGGCUGACACAGAGCUUUAUAAAGACACCACAGGGCUUGCUGAGAAUGACUGGGCCAAGAUGCAAGAUGCGGGUUUAGAAAGCCACAAAGGAGGGAGAAUGUCUCCAGUCAGCACUUCUUCCUCAGCUUCUCACAGACGAGGGGACCGUCCCUUCUGCUCUGUACCCCAGGCUGGCGAACAAAGGCCCAGGCUUCAAACUCUGCGUUGGGGGGUGUUCUCUCCCAGGUCGUGCAAAGCGCAGGCUGGCCCCCCGAGGGAGAGCCCGCCCACCUCCAGAUGCCUCCCAUGCCUCAUGCUUGUCCUGGGCCCACUCACAGGUCUAACCUGGGGGCCUGGGCGACCUCAGCGCUGAGUUUGGAGACUUCUCAGCCUGCACACAUGCGGUGGCCUGAAGAACAGUGUGGAAGGACCUCCUCCAAGGGCUCUCCAGUCUGCCCUGCACUGUGCACUGUGCUUGUGAGGCUGCGGUUCCCCAGGGAACUCCACUCCCUCGGCUGUGCCAUCCUUGACCUGGCCUGCUAGGUAAUGGAGGACUUCUGGUCCCAAACUUAAAAUGGGUCUCAUUAGCUACUUCCCUGUAGCCUCAUCAGGCACCCUGGGGGAAUAGCAGCUUGGGGCAUUACUUUGCAAGCUUUCGUGCCCAGUGCCCAGUUGUCAGGUUGGAUGAACAGAAGCGUGGCGUGCGAAACAGUGGAGGGGAGUCUUCUGUGCUACUCCAGCUGGUCAGAUACACCAAGAGAGCUGCCUGUCCACAGAAAAACCAAGGGGCCCAGGCCACUGAAUGGGGAGCAGGUGGCAAGGACUGGGCAACACACCUGUGUCCAAAAGGUGCUCAAACUGAACAGAAAACAAGGAAAUGUAGACUAAAGCUGAAGAGCAAAAAGGUGCUUUUCACACCUGUCAGAUGGACCGUCCCAGUACCUGGGACCAGAGCGGGUAAUCUCUCUCUGCUCUCAGCACCGGCCAUGCUGUUAGCUAUAGGAGAGCGGGAGGGCAUUGCCAAGGGCAGAACCAGUGUGUUUUGGAAGGAAAUGAAAGCGGGUUCUUCUCCUUUAGGUUCAUAACGGCUGUGGAGCUAGUGAGAGGUGUGGGAUGGAGUGGGUCCUGGCGUCAUUUUCCAAGCUCCUUUUCUGCCUCUAAAGCUUGCUGUGGGGCUCAAGGGACUGGGUGCUGAGUCCUGCCUUGCAGGCGAGGGUGCAGUAUGGUGUAGCCCAGAGAUUCAGCUUUAGAACCUAUUCCCAUGGACGUACUGUNNNNNNNNNNNNNNNNN